RNAcentral lists this ribosomal RNA (429 nucleotides) under Gemmatimonadota bacterium. RNAcentral's name for it is "Gemmatimonadetes bacterium partial 16S ribosomal RNA". It matches the Rfam family "Bacterial small subunit ribosomal RNA", at positions 355 to 776 of the family's 1533-position model. Lineage: Bacteria; Pseudomonadati; Gemmatimonadota. The record is from RNAcentral.
UAGGGAAUCUUCGGCAAUGGACGAAAGUCUGACCGAGCAACGCCGCGUGAGUGAAGAAGGUUUUCGGAUCGUAAAACUCUGUUGUUAGAGAAGAACAAGGACGUUAGUAACUGAACGUCCCCUGACGGUAUCUAACCAGAAAGCCACGGCUAACUACGUGCCAGCAGCCGCGGUAAUACGUAGGUGGCAAGCGUUGUCCGGAUUUAUUGGGCGUAAAGCGAGCGCAGGCGGUUUCUUAAGUCUGAUGUGAAAGCCCCCGGCUCAACCGGGGAGGGUCAUUGGAAACUGGGAGACAUGAGUGCAGAAGAGGAGAGUGGAAUUCCAGGUGUAGCGGUGAAAUGCGUAGAUAUAUGGAGGAACACCGGUGGCGAAGGCGGCUCUCUGGUCUGUAACUGACGCUGAGGCUCGAAAGCGUGGGGAGCAAACAGG